Molecule: long non-coding RNA, 559 nt
Organism: Trifolium pratense (red clover)
Lineage: Eukaryota; Viridiplantae; Streptophyta; Magnoliopsida; Fabales; Fabaceae
Exons: 2
Source: RefSeq, a predicted model, not a curated record
UGUCAUAAUAACGUAUGCGCUUUAUGCACUAUAAAAUGAUCAAAUGAUAUUCACUAUUUUGCAUAUAAAGAUAGAAAUAAUAUGGCUAAAAUUCUCAAAUUUGUGUAUGUUAUGAUUUUAUCUUUUUUCUUAUUUCUUGUUGCAAAGAGAGUUGAUUGCGGAUAUACAAACUUAAUUAAUAAGCCUGUUCCAUGUAAUACUAGAGAUGAUUGUCCACAAAUUUGGACUCGCAAGUAUCAUUGCAUUAACAACGAGUGUGUUGUAUAUAGUAUAAGUACCAUACGGCUAUAAAUAAGAGAAGGAUGAGUUCUUACACUAGAAGAAAUCCAUGCAAUAAUUGUAUCUUUUGAUAAGUUAUUAUUAUAAUGCACCCAAUAAUAAGUGUUUAAUUUUUGGUGUGCUUGGAGGAUUGUGUGUUUUUUAGAAGUUAUUAGUGUUGGAGGAAUGUAUUUGUGAUACCUUUUUGUAUUAUGAACUUUCUCUUGUUCUUUACGUAUAAUAUUAUUUGUGAUUAAAAAAAAAUCAUCGAAUAAUAAUUGUAUAUAUAUCUUUCGUUUAA